CAGGAGUUUGAGACUUGAGUGGUGAUUUGAGUAGCGGAGCCAGAACUAAAACACAGGAGUUCCUGGUUCCCGGGCCCUGACCACACGUCUAACUGUGCCAUGUGACUGGUGGGCAGGCUGCGUGGUAGAUCAUUGGACACGGCAUUCCCAGGCAAUCAGAGUUUGAAGGAAGGCAGGCUGCAUGAUUGUACAAGUGGUUUGGAUUUCCCCCAGCUCUGGAGUGCACCUGGAGCUGAUGCAGGCACAAACUGAGGGAGGGGAGUCCUAACGAUUGAAGCAGAAGAAUGCAUGGAAUUUGCAGAAUGAUGAAGUGAGAGACACUGAAAUCGCAAGGUGCUUGUGAGCAGUCUAAAGCUCUGUUACAGCCAGGCGUCUGUAAUGAGGACGGCAUCCUAUACUGCUUAUGUGCCUAGCUCGAAAGGGAGAACGUUGAAUGCCAAAGCUGAGCUGAUAUGUCUGUGUCUAUGUAUGGAAUUCCUGAUGGGAAACUAUCCAACCACUGCUGAAAGAUUGAUGAUGGGAAACUGAGGCACAGAGCGAUGUCACACAGGGAGUCUGGCAGAACCAGGCCCUGCACGGAGAUCUCCUGAGUCCCAAUCUAGUGCCUUAACCAUUAGACUAUUUUCUCUCCCAUCUUUCCAUGCAGCUGAGGUCCCUGGUGGAUCCUCCAUGUUUUUGACUGAAGAAAGACAUAUUUUAAUACUGGCUAAAACCCUCCCUGAGAGCACUGGGCAGAUCAUGGGCAGGCUUUCGCCUGGGCUCAGCCAGACAUCUCCCUUUGCAUUUGCUUCUCUAUCCUCUGUCUCCCCCAGGACCACUAAUUAAUCCCGAGUAAACACCUCAGAGACACAGAGUGACAACAAACUGAGGGAGGGAAGCCAACACAGAUUUAUCCUCCUCACGAUCCACUCGACCCAAGUCCAUAAGAUGAUCACCUGCAAACUCAGUCAUUUGAAGCAUGGAUAACGCAUGAAGCAGAAAGCAGAGUGCGCACUAAAAUACACAAUUGUACGUAUGUACAGAUCAAAAGAAGAAAACACGCGAACACUUAAGCAAAGGAAGAAAAAAAGGAGUGAAAGCACUAAAAGACUGAGCAUGCUGGACUGUAAACAAAAGAUGGCGGCCUUCCAGUUAUUACCAGCCAAGGGGGGAUGCUAUACAUGACGUCAUUCCUAGGACGAGUCUCAUACGAGUAUGAGCUUGGCAGGAUUGCUUCAUGACACUGCCAUCUCUGACCUCACAUUUUUCCUGAUUUUAUCGGCAGUGAGAUUAUUUAUUUUAUUUAUUUAAAUGUUACGAAGGCUCGGUCAGAAUUUUACCAGUAGCAGCUGGCCAACAAAACACUGCCUUAGGAGAUUGAUAGCAGAUUUAGUUGUAAAAAUACUAAUUUUACAAGUGCAAUUAUUGUUUUUUCUCAGCCCUGGCCUCCCGCCUGUCAAUAAUGAACAACUAGUGAAAGGUAAGGGUAGGGUAAGGGUAUUCGUGUAGCCUGAUGUGUAUAUUUUUGACAUAUUUGAAUGAAAAUGUGUUUUUACCUCAGGAUGGCUCAUCACAAGUGGUAGUUACCAUGAGGUAAACAACGCACAUUUUUUAGCAGCAAACGAAAGCCCCAAACCCUACUUUGCAAAGACCACCCACUCAGGUUUUGAGAUCUUUAUUUUUGCU
Long non-coding RNA from Mauremys mutica (yellowpond turtle), 1665 nucleotides. RefSeq lists it as uncharacterized. The record is from RefSeq and is a predicted model, not a curated record. Lineage: Eukaryota; Metazoa; Chordata; Testudines; Geoemydidae. The transcript has 4 exons.